This is a non-coding RNA of Anas platyrhynchos (mallard), 2571 nucleotides long. The record is from RefSeq and is a predicted model, not a curated record. Lineage: Eukaryota; Metazoa; Chordata; Aves; Anseriformes; Anatidae.
AUUCUCCUCCUCCAGGAUGUUCCCGCACGAGGCCUUUCGGACAGCCAGCAGUGCAGGCACGACCACGGGCACUGCCGGAGGCUCUGCUUCCACAUGGAGCGCUGGGCUGGGAGCUGCAGCAACGGCCGCCUGCGCUGCUGCAGACCAUACCCUAACACCAUGAGGGGCUGCCUCUUCUCCUGCAUAUGCUGAGCUGGUGGGUGGAAGUAUGACUGGGAAUGGGUCACGGCCAGGUCCCUUUACACCAGGGAGUAAAUGUGGGCAACGAUGGUGCUAAGAAAGAUGGGGAACUGCCCUCCACGAUGUGCCCUGGAGCAGGACUCCCAGGAGCAGGGCAUCAUCUUGAAGAGGUGACAAAUGGUGAGCCAGAACUGAAAUAUCUUGGAGGUGUGAGGGGAGAGGGCACCAAGGGAUAAAAAAAGUCUCCUUGAGAGAGAAGCUGGAAGGUUCAUCUCCUGGAAACACCACGUGUGGUAUCAGAGGGUGGCCAAAAUUCCACCCCAAAGCUUCCUGGGGCUGUGAGACCCCCAGCUACCCACAGCAGAGACCCAGAGUGGCCAACACACUCUGCUAGCCCAAGGGACCAGUCCUGUCCUGGAGGAAAAAGAGGGAAACCAGUGAAACCAGUGACUGGGCUGCACUGGUUGACACCCGAGGAGAUCUGCCCCACCUUCCCCUCUGUCUAAACUCUGUGCUUGAAGCUCCGGAGCUGAGCUCCUCCUACCACCACAAAUUAGAUCAAGGAGGGACGGGGUGCCCACGAGCUCUGGGGCUGGCAUUAUCCCCAGCCUGGCUCCUCUCACCCCAUGGGCUGCACAACCAGUGCCUUCACGUGGUCCCAUCUCCUGGAUUCCUCGGCUCUCCUCUGAGUGACGGUGCAGCUCCCCAGGGACCUUGGAAAGCUCAGCCAGAGGUUAGCAGCCGCCCCGGCUGGCUCGAGCCAUCAGCCCCAUCGAGCAGAUAAGGCUCCCCCCGAUAACGGGACCUGCCGGCAGCGAGCCUCCAGUUUUCCACCUUUUUGAAGUCUGGCCGAAGGAGAAGGGAGCCAGGCACCACGGAGACCCUUGUGCCUGUUAAACGAACCCCGUGUUUCUGCCAGCAAUGCCCUGGCACCAUGAAUAAAUGGAUGUCCUAUUUGGAUGCCCCUGUGGGAAAGGGUACGGCCACGGAGGCUGCUCCAUGCUGACCUCUCCCCGUCCACGUCAGAGCAGAAGCGUGUCAGUUGGUCGGCGCUGAUGUACCGGAGCACAUUGUCCGGGCGUAAAUAAAUGACUUCAUCCCCUUGGCGAGGCGCUCGGGGCUCUUUCGGGAGCGCCACGUGGAGGAACAACAGCGCGGGGGCCACGCAGCUCAGCUCUCUGCAGGGAUGGAGCCGGUGGAGGGCUCCAAGACAAACACUGACAAAAGCUUGUGGCUCUUGGCCUGGAGACAUCCAGGGAGGAAAUUCAGGGCUGAAUUUGGGGAAAGCCCCCUGAGGAGGGGUGCUGGGUGAGCCCGUUCUCCUCUCCAUCCUCAUUUCCCCGUGGAAUUGGGCCGUCAGGCUCCGCCAAGCAUCAUUUCUCCAACCCAACACGUUCAGCGCGUGGAGCAGGACCCUUCCCCAGGCCUGGGAGGGACGUGGGAGCUGUCAGGAGGCGUUAUUGUCCAGAUCUUGGGGCCGCUAUCAGCGACUCCCACGCGCUGGAAGUGAGAUAUGUGUGACAACAUUUUUUCCACAUGCCGGCUUAUCGGGGCAGAGAAGAGGGGAAGGGGCUGGGGAAGGUGAUGGGCAGGAGAGGGGGGGAUGGAGGGGAGGUGCAUAGGUAUCAAAGCCCAACCACCCUGUCCUUUGCCCGCCCCGUGCCCUAUGAAAAGAGAGAAAAAAAUAUAUUUUUUUUGGAGGAAUGCAUUCACAACGGGGUUGUGUUGGGUCUGCAGCCUGCUGGCCCACUGGGGACCAUCCUAAAUUCUUUGGGUAAGAUCCUAAAACCUGCUUCCUGAAAACAUCUCUUGAUUCAUAUGUGUAUACGUAUAAAUGGAAAGACCUUCUGCAAGGAUAUUGGCUGGGCUAGCAAGACCCCAUGGGGCACGAUCCCAGUUGUCAACUGCAUCUCGUUGUGUUUUUGCAGUGAUGAGUUUUGUCAAGCCCUGGAAAGGCAGGGGUUUGGCCCACAACCCUAUUUUGCAUAGCAGAGCCUGAAACUUGGCUUUCUCGGUCUUUGGAGAAGACAGAGGGAGCAGAAAUCCAACACAGCCCUUCAGUUCAUUGUCAGCCUCCGAUCAGGAUCAGCACCACUGGAGUCACGUAGUGAAAACCACCAAAAUGCCUUCUGCGGCCAGGCAGAGCCAUCCCACUAGCCACUGCUGGCCCCCAGGCCACCAGCUGGGCCACCCCGAGACAAAACCAAACCCAAAAACGUGUGGGGACACAUCCCAUGCCUCGAGCGUGGGAGAGGUGAGUGGGUUUUGCAUGGACGAGCCUGCGACAGCAAUGCUCUCAUGAGGGCAGUGGUCAUCCUUCGCUCAAGGUUUGUAAAGGAAAGUGAUGUUAUAAAACCAAUAAAUACCCCUGGUAGGGUGGGUGACUCGUUU